UACGUAGGUCCCGAGCGUUGUCCGGAUUUAUUGGGCGUAAAGCGAGCGCAGGUGGUUUAUUAAGUCUGGUGUAAAAGGCAGUGGCUCAACCAUUGUAUGCAUCGGAAACUGGUAGACUUGAGUGCAGGAGAGGAGAGUGGAAUUCCAUGUGUAACGGUGAAAUGCGUAGAUAUAUGGAGGAACACCGGUGGCGAAAGCGGCUCUCUGGCCUGUAACUGACACUGAGGCUCGAAAGCGUGGGGAGCAAACAGG
RNAcentral lists this ribosomal RNA (252 nucleotides) under uncultured bacterium. Its description in RNAcentral is "partial 16S ribosomal RNA". It matches the Rfam family "Bacterial small subunit ribosomal RNA", at positions 524 to 776 of the family's 1533-position model. The record is from RNAcentral.